AACGAACGCUGGCGGCGUGCCUAACACAUGCAAGUCGAACGUGAUUGAGAGCUUGCUCUCAUGAAAGUGGCGCACGGGUGAGUAACGCGUAGAUAAUCUACCUGAUGAUCCGGGAUAACACUUCGAAAGGGGUGCUAAUACCUGAUAAGCCCACGGAGUCUUCGGAUUCUGCGGGAAAAGGGGGGACCUUCGGGCCUUUCGUCAUCAGAUGAGUCUGCGUACCAUUAGCUAGUUGGUAGGGUAAAGGCCUACCAAGGCGACGAUGGUUAGCUGGUCUGAGAGGAUGAUCAGCCACACUGGAACUGAGACACGGUCCAGACUCCUACGGGUGCUG
RNAcentral lists this ribosomal RNA (334 nucleotides) under uncultured Pseudomonadota bacterium. RNAcentral's name for it is "bacterial SSU rRNA". It matches the Rfam family "Bacterial small subunit ribosomal RNA", at positions 29 to 351 of the family's 1533-position model. Lineage: Bacteria; Pseudomonadati; Pseudomonadota. The record is from RNAcentral.